RNAcentral lists this ribosomal RNA (253 nucleotides) under uncultured bacterium. RNAcentral describes it as "partial 16S ribosomal RNA". It matches the Rfam family "Bacterial small subunit ribosomal RNA", at positions 524 to 776 of the family's 1533-position model. The record is from RNAcentral.
GACGAACCGUGCGAACGUUGUUCGGAAUCACUGGGCUUAAAGGGUGCGUAGGCGGGGUGGCAAGUCUGUGGUGAAAUCCUCCGGCUCAACCGGAGAACUGCCGUGGAUACUGCUACUCUCGAGGGGUGUAGGGGCAUGUGGAACUCAGGGUGGAGCGGUGAAAUGCGUAGAUAUCCUGAGGAACGCCGGUGGCGAAAGCGACGUGCUGGACACCUUCUGACGCUGAGGCACGAAAGCCAGGGGAGCGAACGGG